Molecule: ribosomal RNA, 301 nt
Filed under: uncultured bacterium
Lineage: Bacteria
Description: partial 16S ribosomal RNA
Rfam family: Bacterial small subunit ribosomal RNA
Source: RNAcentral
CAGUAGCCGCGGUAAUACGUAGGUGGCAAGCGUUGUCCGGAAUUAUUGGGCGUAAAGCGCGCGCAGGUGGUUUAAUAAGUCUGAUGUGAAAGCCCACGACUCAACCGUGGAGGGUCAUUGGAAACUGUUAAACUUGAGUGCAGGAGAGAAAAGUGGAAUUCCUAGUGUAGCGGUGAAAUGCGUAGAGAUUAGGAGGAACACCAGUGGCGAAGGCGGCUUUUUGGCCUGUAACUGACACUGAGGCGCGAAAGCGUGGGGAGCAAACAGGAUUAGAUACCCGGGUAGUCCCUGUCUCUUAUAC